RNAcentral lists this ribosomal RNA (253 nucleotides) under uncultured bacterium. Its description in RNAcentral is "partial 16S ribosomal RNA". It matches the Rfam family "Bacterial small subunit ribosomal RNA", at positions 524 to 776 of the family's 1533-position model. The record is from RNAcentral.
CACGUAGGAGGCAAACGUUAUCCGGAUUUACUGGGCGUAAAGCGCGUGUAGGUGGUUCUGUAAGUAGGGCGUGAAAGCUCCCGGCUCAACUGGGAGAGGCCGUUCUAAACUGCAGAGCUAGAGGAUGGUAGAGGGAGGUAGAAUUCCACGUGUAGCAGUGAAAUGCGUAGAGAUGUGGAGGAAUACCAGUGGCGAAAGCGGCCUCCUGGACCAUUCCUGACACUCAGACGCGAAAGCUAGGGUAGCAAACGGG